Capra hircus (goat) is the source of this 1176-nucleotide long non-coding RNA. RefSeq lists it as uncharacterized. The transcript has 3 exons. The record is from RefSeq and is a predicted model, not a curated record. NCBI's taxonomy places the organism in Eukaryota, Metazoa, Chordata, Mammalia, Artiodactyla, Bovidae.
CUUUCGACCAGCUCGACGCUGGAGCCCUCCGCGUGGCCCGGGGGUCUCUGCAGAGGCACUUACCAGGGCCGCCCCUGCUCUCCGCGCGUCGCCCCAUGUGGGCGCCUAGGGCUAGUCUUCGACCCCAGCUCGGCUCCCGCUCAGAGAGGCCUCCCAGGCCCCAGGGGAGCCGCAGUGAGAGCUCUUCUGCGGCCAGGACAUCCUCAGGGUACCGGGGACCCUUCCUCCCCAGAAAUAACUCUCUUGGCGCCUAAGGUCCCUCUUUCCCCCAGGGGCCGAGGCGCGCGUCACUUGUGCCUGCGACCCCGAUGCUCAAGGGAUCCGGGCCACAUGGAGCUUCAAGCUCCUUUUGCAAUGAAAAGAGAAAAAACAAACAAGACUCUUGGAGGAACCGACCCGGGACGGAGGCGCAGAGCCCUGGACGGCGUUCGAGUUGGGACGCACGCGGGGCCCCCGCCUGCCCGGGGGCUCUGGGGACUCUGACAUGGUCUAUUUAGGAAGCGGAUGAGAUCACGGGCCUGAAGCACUUUAGCCUUCAAGGCAGAGCAGUGUUAAUUCCGGUGUUAGCAAGAAACGGAGGCUGACAAGAUGCUGACAAGCUUAAGGACUGGUACUUGAAAGAAGCUUUUCCAGGAGAUAAGGUGUAUUUGAACAUGUGAUGAUUGAUAUACAGAAUAGAGCUUUUUGCUAAUUGUCCUUUUCAUGGUGGUAGCAGGGGUGAAUUUUUUAAAAAAAACUGCCAAGUAUCUGUAAGAAUAUAUAUCUGCCCUGUAGAGAAUUUUCGGCAGAAUUCAAUUCCAUUAUUUAAAACAGUUUUUUUAAAUAAGAUCCAGCCUGAAUCUUGACAUAGUAGCUAGACUAGCUAUUCUACAACUAUCUUAAGAGAAUUUGGCUAGCUGCUUUAAUUUACAAAGGUUAUUUUUAAAUCCCAUUCUUUUGACUAUGCUAAACCUCGGGGUUUUGUGCUUGCAGUUUUGUCUAAUCAUUUUGAUGAUUAAAUUUGACCCCUUGUAUAGAGGACAGAUCAGUGGAGGAGUUUGUUGCAUAGCAUUUUGAGGGUUGGGGCUGAGGAACUGUCUACACUUUGAUUAUAGUGGUAAUUCCAUUUGUCAGAAAUUUUGAGUGAGUUUUACUGAAUGUAAAUUCAAUUUCAAUAAAUAUGACUUUAAAACUUUC